Molecule: transfer-messenger RNA, 402 nt
Filed under: Bacteroidaceae
Lineage: Bacteria; Pseudomonadati; Bacteroidota; Bacteroidia; Bacteroidales
Also listed under: 1 other name
Description: UBA4372 sp017965425 Standard tmRNA
Rfam family: transfer-messenger RNA
About the family: Bacterial tmRNA, also known as 10Sa RNA or SsrA, is named for its dual tRNA and mRNA-like properties. Its role is to liberate the mRNA from a stalled ribosome.
Source: RNAcentral
GGGGCUGACAUGGAUUUGACAGCAGGAUGAGAUGUUGCGUAAGCACGCAGAGAGUCGCUGAUCGCUCUCUUUAAUACCUGGUCUUCAAAGAAUUAACUGGCGAAAACACUUACGCUCUCGCUGCUUGAUUGAAGUAUAGUAAAUCCGAGCAUUAUCUCGGCACAAGGUGCUGAGACGAGACAUCACUCAGAGACUAUCGCCCUGGAGCGCUCUGGUAAAGUGGUGCAGCAAAACCAGGGAUAGUCAUGCGCGGCCUCGCACGCACGACGAAAUUUUAGAGGAUAAGGCAUAGGUUGGUGGUCCAGGUCUUGCCCAUGCUCGAAAACCAAGUCUGGAAUAAGCGUGUAGAAAGCGCAGGAUGUCCCUGUUUGGACGAGGGUUCAAUUCCCUCCAGCUCCACAA